Molecule: long non-coding RNA, 634 nt
Filed under: Nicotiana benthamiana
Lineage: Eukaryota; Viridiplantae; Streptophyta; Magnoliopsida; Solanales; Solanaceae
Description: long non-coding RNA (NBEN_LNC037427)
Source: RNAcentral
GCGAUGAUUCAUGCGGCGCUCUAUGUAGCGAAGGUGUAUGGUUACGCCAAAGAGAAUUCUGGUCCCCUGAAGCCUGGCGUUCAGACCGUCGAAGGCACUGUUAAGACCGUAGUUGGCCCAGUGUAUGAUAAAUUUCAUGACGUUCCUGUCGAGGUCCUCAAGUUUGUUGACCGCAAGGUAUAUUUCUUUGCACAAUUGACAUGAGUUUUAUUCUUAUCGUUUUACCUAUCAUGGAUUUGGAUUAAUUACUGGAUUCCACUUUUUGAGAUAGAAAUUCUGCUUUUGUAUUAUUAUGAUAUCAUAAUUGGGAUUAUACAUUAAUUAGCUUCAGGAUGUCUCUAUGCAUUGACCAUUUUUUUAAAUGGGAUCGAUUGCUGUUCAGACCGUCGAAGGCACCGUCAAGACCGUGGUUGGCCCUGUCUAUGAUAAAUUUCAUGAUGUCCCUGUUGAGGUCCUCAAGUUUGUUGACCGCAAGGUAUAUUUCCUUGCACAAUUGACAUGAAUUUUAUUUUUAUCGUUUUACCUAUCAUGGAUUUGGAUUAAUUACUGUAUUCCACUUUUUGAGAUAGAUAUUCUACUUUUGCAUUAUUAUGAUAUCACAGUUGGGAUUAUACAUUAUUUGGAUUGAUUAAUU